CUGGCUCUUCAUUUUGAAGGAUUUGAUAGCAAGGUGUCAUUCACAAAUCUGACACUUCUGCAAAGAAGCACAUCCCCCACAACUGUUAAACGAUCAAAUCAGACCAAUAAUGGAAAGCUGAAAACUAUGACUUUUCUCUUUGCCUCUGGCUACCCCUCAGAGCACUAAAUAAAUGCAAACUGCUUGUUCGAUCCCGAAUUAUGAAUAAUUUCUGAAGCAUGAUGAACCUCCAAAGAGGCAUUCAGAGUAUAUUAUGGGGUGCGGAGCGAAAUCUGUGACUUACAGUGAUCCAGGUGGUGGACUAUAUCUUCUGCUGCACAAAUUGUUGUAAGCAAGUGGUAAGUAUCAAAGACAAGAUGAAGAAUAUGGAGCAAGGUGUAUUUGACAAGAAAGAAAAAGUCCUUACUCUAGCUGUGGUUUUGGGUUUUUGUUUGUUUGUUUGUUUGUUUUGGGUUUUUGUUUGUUUGUUUGUUCGUAAGAGUAGUGCUAUGUGUGAGCACACCAGGCUGAGACUUCUCUGGGACAAACAGCUCCAACCAGCUCCCAGUUUCUCCAAGGACUGCUCCAUCCCAUUACAUAUCUCCCUGUUGUCUUUUCCAGCAAGCAAUAAUAUUACAGAUGAUUUAAGGCAGACCACAGUGUGGUGA
RNAcentral lists this long non-coding RNA (647 nucleotides) under Coturnix japonica (Japanese quail). Its description in RNAcentral is "lncRNA (ENSCJPG00005000192.1)". The record is from RNAcentral. Lineage: Eukaryota; Metazoa; Chordata; Aves; Galliformes; Phasianidae.